This 482-nucleotide ribosomal RNA is filed under the name uncultured bacterium. Its description in RNAcentral is "partial 16S ribosomal RNA". It matches the Rfam family "Bacterial small subunit ribosomal RNA", at positions 30 to 505 of the family's 1533-position model. The record is from RNAcentral.
AUUGAACGCUGGCGGCAGGCCUAACACAUGCAAGUCGAGCGGAUGAAGGGAGCUUGCUCCUGGAUUCAGCGGCGGACGGGUGAGUAAUGCCUAGGAAUCUGCCUGGUAGUGGGGGAUAACGUCCGGAAACGGGCGCUAAUACCGCAUACGUCCUGAGGGAGAAAGUGGGGGAUCCUCGGACCUCACGCUAUCAGAUGAGCCUAGGUCGGAUUAGCUAGUUGGUGGGGUAAAGGCCUACCAAGGCGACGAUCCGUAACUGGUCUGAGAGGAUGAUCAGUCACACUGGAACUGAGACACGGUCCAGACUCCUACGGGAGGCAGCAGUGGGGAAUAUUGGACAAUGGGCGAAAGCCUGAUCCAGCCAUGCCGCGUGUGUGAAGAAGGUCUUCGGAUUGUAAAGCACUUUAAGUUGGGAGGAAGGGCAGUAAGUUAAUACCUUGCUGUUUUGACGUUACCAACAGAAUAAGCACCGGCUAACUUCG